GACGAACGCUGGCGGCGUGCUUAACACAUGCAAGCCGAGCGGUAAGGCCCUUUCGGGGGUACACGAGCGGCGAACGGGUGAGUAACACGUGGGUGACCUGCCCUUAGCUCUGGGAUAAGCCUGGGAAACUGGGUCUAAUACCGGAUAUGACUCCAUAACGCAUGUUGUGGGGUGGAAAGCCUUGUGCGGCUAGGGAUGGGCCCGCGGCCUAUCAGCUUGUUGGUGGGGUGAUGGCCACCAAGGCGACGACGGGUAGCCGGCCUGAGAGGGCGACCGGCCACACUGGGACUGAGACACGGCCCAGACUCCUACGGGAGACAGCAGUGGGGAAUCUUGCGCAAUGGGCGAAAGCCUGACGCAGCGACGCCGCGUGGGGA
RNAcentral lists this ribosomal RNA (377 nucleotides) under uncultured bacterium. RNAcentral's name for it is "bacterial SSU rRNA". It matches the Rfam family "Bacterial small subunit ribosomal RNA", at positions 28 to 407 of the family's 1533-position model. The record is from RNAcentral.